GAUGAACGCUGGCGGCGUGCCUAAUACAUGCAAGUCGAGCGAACAGACGAGGAGCUUGCUCCUCUGACGUUAGCCGCGGACGGGUGAGUAACACGUGGAUAACCUACCUAUAAGUCUGGGAUAACUUCGGGAAACCGGCGCUAAUACCGGAGAAUCUAUUGAACCGCAUGGUUCAAUAGUGAAAGACGGUUUUGGUGUCACUUAUAGCUGGUUCCGCGCUGCAUUAGCUAGUUGGUAAGGUAACGGCUUACCAAGGCGACGAUGCGUAGCCGACCUGAGAGAGUGAUCGGCCACACUGGAACUGAGACGCGGUCCAGACUCCUACGGGAGGCAGCAGUGGGGAAUCUGCCGCAGUGGGCGAAAGCCUGACGGAGCAACGCCGCGUGAGUGAUGAAGAUCUUCGGAUCGUAAAACUCUGUUAUUAGGGAAGAACAAAUGUGUAAGGAACUAUGCACGGCUUGACGGUACCUAAUCAGAAAGCCACGGCUAACUACGUG
RNAcentral lists this ribosomal RNA (497 nucleotides) under uncultured bacterium. Its description in RNAcentral is "partial 16S ribosomal RNA". It matches the Rfam family "Bacterial small subunit ribosomal RNA", at positions 28 to 507 of the family's 1533-position model. The record is from RNAcentral.